RNAcentral lists this ribosomal RNA (468 nucleotides) under uncultured bacterium. RNAcentral's name for it is "partial 16S ribosomal RNA". It matches the Rfam family "Bacterial small subunit ribosomal RNA", at positions 28 to 507 of the family's 1533-position model. The record is from RNAcentral.
GACGAACGCUGGCGGCGUGCUUAACACAUGCAAGUCGAACGGAAAGGCCCUGCUUUUGUGGGGUGCUCGAGUGGCGAACGGGUGAGUAACACGUGAGUAACCUGCCCUUGACUUUGGGAUAACUUCAGGAAACUGGGGCUAAUACCGGAUAGGAGCUCCUGCUGCAUGGUGGGGGUUGGAAAGUUUCGGCGGUUGGGGAUGGACUCGCGGCUUAUCAGCUUGUUGGUGGGGUAGUGGCUUACCAAGGCUUUGACGGGUAGCCGGCCUGAGAGGGUGACCGGCCACAUUGGGACUGAGAUACGGCCCAGACUCCUACGGGGGGGAGCAGUGGGGAAUAAUGCACAAUGGGCGGAAGCCUGAUGCAGGAACGCCGCGUGCGGGAUGACGGCCUUCGGGUUGUAAACCGCUUUCGCCUGUGACGAAGCGUGAGGUACGGUAAUGGGUAAAGGAGCAACGGCUAACUACGUG